GUCGUGAGAUGUUGGGUUAAGUCCCGCAACGAGCGCAACCCCUGUUCUUAGUUGCCAGCGCGUAAUGGCGGGGACUCUAGGAAGACUGCCGGUGCCAAACCGGAGGAAGGUGGGGACGACGUCAAGUCAUCAUGGUCCUUACGUCUAGGGCUACACACGUGCUACAAUGGGCGGGACAGAGGGGGCCGAGGCAGCAAUGCCAAGGCAAUCCCAAAACCCGUCCUCAGUUCGGAUUGUCGUCUGCAACUCGACGGCAUGAAGCUGGAAUCGCUAGUAAUCGUGGAUCAACAUCGCCACGGUGAAUACGUUCCCGGGCCUUGUACACACCGCCCGUCACGCCAUGGAAGUGGUGAGCGCCCGAAGUCCGUGUCGGAACCCGCAAGGGGCCAAGCGGCCGAAGGCGAGCAUCAUGACUGGGGCGAAGUCGUAACAAGGUAGCCGUAGGGGAACCUGCGGCUGGAUCACCUCCUUAACGGAGCUGCGAGUAAGGCAGAACAAGCCCGGGCAACCAGGAGUUACUUUGCCGGAAAGCACUCACGUGUCGCUCGUCUCGUAACAUCCAGAUCUCAACUCUCGAUUUCCAUAUAUAAAUCGAGCCCGACUCAUAAACCGCGCAAGCGGAGUGUGAAUUCGAAGCUCGAAAGAAGUAGAAGGACUUGAGGCUAAGUCCUUAUGCACCAAGCGACAGAGCGCUUAUAUCUCGAAAGUUUUUUGACAAUGGAAGGUAGUAGUGAUCGUGGGAUUUGAGUACCGGGAUUUGAUAAGAUCCUGGUACUGAGAAUCAACACUAGUGACACAAUUUCAUGCGAAGCUCUGACCUAACGGUUGGGGCUCGAUUUGUCUCAAAGAGCUUUUUCAGCUCAGAGAGUCCAAAGAUUGUAUCACUCGUUAGAUCGUGCGUGUUUCUGUUUGAACAAGUUAUUUGAUCAAGCGAAAGAAAGUAUGUGGGGGAUGCCUAGGUACACAGAGGCGAUGAAGGCCGUGGUAAGCUGCGAUAAGCCAAGUUGAGCGGCACACACGCUAUGACACUUGGAUUG
This 1037-nucleotide small RNA is filed under the name uncultured Gemmatimonas sp. RNAcentral describes it as "bacterial SSU rRNA". The stretch from base 1 to 472 matches the Rfam family "Bacterial small subunit ribosomal RNA", at positions 1064 to 1533 of the family's 1533-position model. Lineage: Bacteria; Pseudomonadati; Gemmatimonadota; Gemmatimonadia; Gemmatimonadales; Gemmatimonadaceae. The record is from RNAcentral.